AUUCAGGUAGUUUAAAAAAAAUAUCAGCUUGUGGCGCUAAAGAUGUAAUUUGUUACCCUGAGUA
Molecule: transfer RNA, 64 nt
Filed under: Chaceon granulatus
Lineage: Eukaryota; Metazoa; Arthropoda; Malacostraca; Decapoda; Geryonidae
Description: tRNA-His
Rfam family: tRNA
About the family: Transfer RNA (tRNA) molecules are approximately 80 nucleotides in length.
Source: RNAcentral